GUGGUUCUUUGUGCGACUGCGGUGACUCAAGGGACGAUGUGCCCGGCGCCGGACUCUGAACUAUUCCAUCAGUACACUAGACAAUGAUGUCCUAUGCAACUGGACCUGGAGUGAUCCAGCUUGGCGACGGUGGUGCACGUCGUCGAGGCUUAGGUAUUGCCUCACCAGGCGCCAGCAAUCGUACCCCAGGUCCUGCAGUUGCGUGCCGCAGCCGUCGGCAGGUGGCGCGCACGUCACGCAUUCCUUGACGACGCCGGUGAGUCGCAUGAAGUCGUGCAGCGUUUCGACGAUGCUGAGAUGACUUCGGAUCAUCAGGGCCGCUUGGCGUGCUGGGAUACCCUCCUUGUCGGCGAGCUCUCUCACAAGGGCUGGAUUUCGUGAGACCUUCUCCAAUGCGGUAGCGGUGUACCUGUUUGCGACGACACGAGUGAUCCGAAUAAGAAUUAGUUGCUGCGAACAGGUGCAUUCAGUAUAAAUCGAAGCCCGUAUAAGCAAAGAAA
Rhipicephalus sanguineus (brown dog tick) is the source of this 500-nucleotide long non-coding RNA. RefSeq lists it as uncharacterized. The record is from RefSeq and is a predicted model, not a curated record. Lineage: Eukaryota; Metazoa; Arthropoda; Arachnida; Ixodida; Ixodidae. The transcript has 2 exons.